UUAUAGUACAUGAGUUUCCAGAUGUGAUCCAGGAAGAAAUUUUCUGGAUGGAAAAUAAUUGACCUCUUACUCUGUCUGCUUCUGAUACAACCAGCUAGGAGGAUUUACAAAAGUGACUGGUUCUGUUCAGAUAAAAUGCCAAGGCUCUUCUGAUGUCCAAGGUAAAAGAAGUAGUCCAGAAUAUGCUGAACUGAAGAACUGGUUGGUGAUACCUCAUUCUGUUGAGACCAGAUGGAGAAACACCUCCAUUUAGCAAGGUCCAUUUGGAGAAACCCCACUGCUGGAAGACCUAUCUGGCCACAUCUGGGCACUCAAACGAUCUGCUCAGGUGGUCUGCAAGCAGGUCCUGCUGAGGAGGAGGAGCAGAAUAUCACUGUGUCUGUUGUGGCCGAGAGUGCUUCCUGACUGGAGCACAUAUAUACAGACCUAAGAACUUCACAGUGGCUCUAGAGUCAGUAAGUCCAUGGAGCUUGCUGCCCAUCUGGUACAAGAAUAGAGCAGGACCUUCAAAUGGUAAGUCCUGGAUAGUACUGUGGACUUCAUAGGGAAGACCAGAAGACUGCAGCCAGGAUGAUCUACGCUUGGCCACUGCGGAGACCCUGGGUUUAGUUGCCGAAUUUGUUGCCUCCAGAACUGCAGUGGAGUUCUCGUGCCCAGUCUGCCCUCAUUGACCAGUACUGAGGAUAACAACCAACGCAACAUAAGGGGCCCCCAAUUCAAAGGCAAGUCCAAAUGGAGGCAUUCCAGGGGCUUAACUCAAUGAACCUGAGCCACAGUAACUGUAGAUCCAGGAAUGCAUCAUGUGUGCUAUCAGGCUUCAAGUAUGAAACUCAUGAUUUAUAAUCCUGUGUAGGGUGUAAAUCCACAUUAAAGUGUUGGCUCUCAAUAUGACCUGUUGCUAUUGCUAUGACCUGAGCCACAGUGUAAUGAUUUGUACUUCAGUGCACAAAAUAAGAAGUACCAGAUCCUUAUGGGGUAUGCUCUUGAGGACUGCCUCUUUUAGCAGAGGCCAACACCUAUGAGGCCAAGUGUGAUGAGAGGUACCAGCACCUUUGAGGCCCCCUCCUGGAGGCUUUGUGGUCCUGCCACAGCCCGUUCCAGGAAAGAAGCAGUGAAGUUGGGUCCUUCCUGGCUACCAAUAGAAAGACUGCAGGAAAGCAGCCAAUCAGAGCCCAGCAGGCCCAGUUAAAAGGAGCUGCAUUCCUGGCUGGCACCAGAAGGGCGAGGAAGGGUUGGAUGACUGUGAAAUUCUACAGGCAAGGAGGCCCGGGAGAGACCCUGCUCAAGCAGGAAACAGAUGGAGAAAACCCAAGGACUGUAACCCUAAGGAGGAUCCAAUGUAUGCAGAAUCAUUAUGACUGGUCCCUGAAGUUUGGCUACAGAAAAGGAGACUGACAUCUGCACUGGGACUCUGCACAUCUUCAACCCUCAUCAUCAAUACACCUCUGCCCAAAUGGCCUAAAAAGAUCUGGGGGCUUUUGCAAUAUGCCUGGAAGAUUAAGAAACCUGACUUUGCCAACUAACAAAGUAUCAGAUCACGGAAUGAAGGUGUCAAGAUGCAGCAGACGUGAUCUGCAAUAUAUCUGCCUGCGCUGCCAGGAUAUUUUCCUCUGACUUAAUACAAUGCAUUUUCUUUAUUGUUACAUGGCUGGAAAACUGGUCAAAGGACAUCACUCAUGUCCAAAGAGCCUAGAAAUGUUUGCUGUGGAAAAACAUGGAAUUUGCAUUUUUGCAGAGAAUCUUUAGCUUUUAUAUUUUGUGAAUAAACAUUAACUAUUUACUAAAUUGUAAA
Long non-coding RNA from Mauremys reevesii (Reeves's turtle), 1792 nucleotides. RefSeq lists it as uncharacterized. The record is from RefSeq and is a predicted model, not a curated record. NCBI's taxonomy places the organism in Eukaryota, Metazoa, Chordata, Testudines, Geoemydidae. The transcript is spliced from 8 exons.